GGGAAAGUAGCUUAUUGGUAAAGUGCUUGCCUUGCAUGCAUGAGGCCCUGGGUUUGAUUCCUCAGCACCA
Molecule: transfer RNA, 70 nt
Filed under: Dipodomys ordii (Ord's kangaroo rat)
Lineage: Eukaryota; Metazoa; Chordata; Mammalia; Rodentia; Heteromyidae
Rfam family: tRNA
About the family: Transfer RNA (tRNA) molecules are approximately 80 nucleotides in length. Their secondary structure includes four short double-helical elements and three loops (D, anti-codon, and T loops).
Source: Rfam by way of RNAcentral